UCCUGGUUAACCCAGGCAGUCUCAUUAGAGUUCCCAGCAUUACCUGUUGGCAACUAACGACAAGGGUUGCGCUCGUUGCGGGACUUAACCCAACACCUCACGGCACGAGCUGACGACAGCCAUGCAGCACCUGUUUAGCAGUCCCGAAGGAAGGCGCUAUCUCUAGCGCUGUCUACUAUAUGUCAAGCCUAGGUAAGGUUCUUCGCGUUGCAUCGAAUUAAACCACAUGCUCCACUGCUUGUGCGGGUCCCCGUCAAUUCUUUUGAGUUUCACCCUUGCGAGUGUACUCCCCAGGCGGUAUACUUAUCGCGUUAGCUACGGCACAGCUGGGGUUGAGACCAGCUACACCAAGUAUACAUAGUUUACGGUUAGGACUAC
This 378-nucleotide unclassified non-coding RNA is filed under the name Estrella lausannensis. RNAcentral's name for it is "contains 16S-23S intergenic spacer region". The record is from RNAcentral. Lineage: Bacteria; Pseudomonadati; Chlamydiota; Chlamydiia; Parachlamydiales; Candidatus Criblamydiaceae.